Molecule: non-coding RNA, 920 nt
Organism: Malus domestica (apple)
Lineage: Eukaryota; Viridiplantae; Streptophyta; Magnoliopsida; Rosales; Rosaceae
Source: RefSeq, a predicted model, not a curated record
UUUGAAAUAUCACAACAAAUACAGUACCAUUUUUGUCACAAAAAUUCUAAACAAAACAAUCGAUUAACGACGGUCGCUUUUUUACCUCAAAAUAUUAGCAUCUCCGUCGUGUUCUGAUUUUCCUCCGAAUCGGAGAAGAAAGGCAACCAAAUUCCGGUUGUACGUCGUCGUUUUCUAGGGCAUCGAAAUCUUGGUCCUCAGAAUUCGUGGUUUUGUGAUUCUUCCCGGCGCUCCUCAAGCUUACGGCAGCCUGAGCGCGUGGCGCUCUCGAUUGAUUCCAUGGUCUGAUCUUCCGCGAAUCGCAAUCCGACGGUGGCGAUGGCGUCGGCGCAGGGCCAAUCAUCGAAUUUGGAUCUUUUCGAUGCGUAUUUAUGACGAGCCGAUUUGGACCGCAAUGGCCAGAUUAGUGGCAAUGAAGCCGUCGCUUUCUUCCAGGGCUCCGGUCUCCCCAAACAGACAUGGGCACAUGCAGACCGGAGGCAGACUGGUUUCCUUGGUCGGGCAGAUUUUAUACUACUGUUAGUGAGGAAAAGCAGCAGGCCAAUCAGCAGACACCCAGAGUACCAGAAUUGGAGAAACGUCAUGUAAAUCAACCGAGUACAGAGGAGGUUAACUCACUGAACUCAAGUUCAAACAAGCAACCGAAGCUGAUAAAAAGGUACUAGAACUUUAAUGUUUCCCCAAUUUUUUCAUCUUGGGCAGUAAAGUUAUGUGUGCAAGUUACUUCCUGAUAAGUUUCAAAUCAUAACAAAUAUGCCAAACUUGGAGAAAGAAAUUUUGGAUGCUAGAGAUAAUAUUUAAUAGUUUUAUCAUUGUUACAAAAUUGAUGAUUGUAUUAUUAAAUUGGGGCUGUGCUUUUUUCUUUUCAGCCUUAAUUUGCUGUAAUUUUUUACCCUCUCUAAUAAAAUUUGUUUCGCUGA